GACGAACCGUGCGAACGUUGUUCGGAAUCACUGGGCUUAAAGGGCGCGUAGGCGGAUUGCCAAGUCAGGGGUGAAAUCUCUCAGCUCAACUGGGAAAUUGCUUUUGAUACUGGCAGUCUCGAGUGAGGUAGGGGCAUGUGGAACUCUCGGUGGAGCGGUGAAAUGUGUUGAUAUCGGGAGGAACUCCGGUGGCGAAAGCGACGUGCUGGACCUCAACUGACGCUGAGGCGCGAAAGCUAGGGGAGCAAACGGG
RNAcentral lists this ribosomal RNA (253 nucleotides) under uncultured bacterium. RNAcentral describes it as "partial 16S ribosomal RNA". It matches the Rfam family "Bacterial small subunit ribosomal RNA", at positions 524 to 776 of the family's 1533-position model. The record is from RNAcentral.